This 468-nucleotide ribosomal RNA is filed under the name uncultured bacterium. RNAcentral's name for it is "partial 16S ribosomal RNA". It matches the Rfam family "Bacterial small subunit ribosomal RNA", at positions 28 to 507 of the family's 1533-position model. The record is from RNAcentral.
GACGAACGCUGGCGGCGUGCUUAACACAUGCAAGUCGAACGGAAAGGCCCUGCUUUUGUGGUGUGCUCGAGUGGCGAACGGGUGGGUAACACGUGAGUAACCUGCCCUUGACUUUGGGAUAACUUCCGGAAACUGGGGCUAAUACCGGGUAGGAGCUCCUGAUGCAUGGUGGGGGUUGGAAAGUUUCGGCGGUUGGGGAUUGACUCGGGGAUUAUCAGCUUGUUGGUGGGGUAGUGGCGUACCAAGGCUUUGAGGGGUAGCGGGCAUGAGGGGGUGACCGGACAGAUUGGGACUGAGAUGCGGGCCGCAGUCCUAAGGGAGGCAGCAGGGGCGAAUAUUUCACGAAGGGCCGCAGCGUGAGGGAGGAAGGCCGUCUGCGGGAAAAACGCCGUUGGGUGGGAAACCGAUUUGGCCAGUGACGAAGGGUGAGUGACAGUAAUGGGUAAAGAAGCGCCGGGUAACUACGUG